CACGGGGGGAGCAAGCGUUGUUCGGAAUCACUGGGCGUAAAGGGCGCGUAGGCGGUCAGGUAAGUGAGAUGUGAAAUGCCCCGGCUCACCCGGGGACCGGCAUCUCAUACUGCUUGGCUUGAGUACGGGAGGGGAGAAUGGAAUUCCCGGUGUAGCGGUGAAAUGCGUAGAUAUCGGGAGGAACGCCGGUGGCGAAAGCGAUUCUCUGGCCCGUUCCUGACACUGAGGCGCGAAAGCUAGGGGAGCAAACAGG
RNAcentral lists this ribosomal RNA (253 nucleotides) under uncultured bacterium. RNAcentral describes it as "partial 16S ribosomal RNA". It matches the Rfam family "Bacterial small subunit ribosomal RNA", at positions 524 to 776 of the family's 1533-position model. The record is from RNAcentral.